This 502-nucleotide ribosomal RNA is filed under the name uncultured bacterium. Its description in RNAcentral is "bacterial SSU rRNA". It matches the Rfam family "Bacterial small subunit ribosomal RNA", at positions 29 to 529 of the family's 1533-position model. The record is from RNAcentral.
AGCGAACGUUUGCGGCGGGCCUAACACAUGCAAGUCGAACGGGCAGGGGCAACCCUGUCAGUGGCGCACGGGUGCGUAACACGUGGGUAAUCAACCCUUUGGACUGGGACAACCCGGGGAAACUCGGGCUAAUACCGGAUGUGGCGUGGCGGUCCUCGGACUGCUCCGCGAAAGCUCCGCAAGGGGCACCAGAGGACGAGCCCGCGUCCCAUCAGCUAGUUGGUGAGGUAAUGGCUCACCAAGGCGAAGACGGGUAGCUGGUCUGAGAGGAUGAUCAGCCACACUGGAACUGAGACACGGUCCAGACUCCUACGGGAGGCAGCAGUGGGGAAUAUUGCGCAAUGGGCGAAAGCCUGACGCAGCCACGCCGCGUGUGCGAUGAAGGUCUUCGGAUCGUAAAGCACUGUGGGGGAGAAGAAACAAGCCGGUGAAGAGCCGGCCCUGACGGUAUCCCCUUAGCAAGCACCGGCUAACUCCGUGCCAGCAGCCGCGGUAAAGUGUG